RNAcentral lists this long non-coding RNA (2533 nucleotides) under Mytilus galloprovincialis (Mediterranean mussel). Lineage: Eukaryota; Metazoa; Mollusca; Bivalvia; Mytilida; Mytilidae. The record is from RNAcentral.
GGUAUUCUUCUUUAAGCUUUAUAUUUAUAUUAUUUAAACAUUAUUUUAAACUUCUUACUUGAUUUAGCCCUUUCAUCUGUUCAAUGGAGCAUUGAUUAUGGGUGUUAUGUAAAUUAAAUGUUUAUUACCUGAACUAAAUUCUUGUGACGACUAAAGAUAUACUUCUGAAGAUGGUUUACUUUCACACGACUGGUUGUUAUACAUGGUGUCAAUAUUUAUUUAAUGCCAUCAGAUCUGAACUGUAUAAUCAUAGUGUCCACAUGGUUCCAAUAUCUUUUUAAUUAAGUGUAUGCAUUGUGUAACUGUAUAAAUGCUAAUUUCGGAGAUCUGUAAAAUGUUAUAGUAUUGUGCAUUGUUGUCUAUGACUCUCAUCACUGCCAAUUCUACCAGUUUUAUUUCAGUUUGGAAAAUAUGAUGUUAUGUUUCAAAUAUAAUUAUAUAUCAAAUGAUGUAUCUGCUGAAUAUCAUAAGUACAACAGUUAUGGCAUGUUUAUGUAAAACACAUAUUAAGAUUAUAUAUUUGGCUCUAAAAAGAUAAACCAGUUCCUAUAUUAAAUAAAGGUAAUACCUGUAUACCACUGUUCAAUAGUCGUAAAUCAAUUUAACUGAAACAAAUUCGGGUCACAAACCAAAACUGAAGAAAACAUGUCACAAAAUUCAGAAAAAUUACUGUAUCUAGGUGACAUUUAAUGUAUAAGUAUAUAUUUCACUGCUAAGUAUUUCUAUUGAGUAAACAUUAAGGAAGUACACCACUAAUUCAUGGUCCCAUUGCUUUCUAUGUUAAAUUCCUCCAUUUCAAGCAGGAACAUCUCUUUUAUUUUAAGUUCAAAUAAAGUGGCAAUCAUUGCAUGUCAAAGCAACACUUAAUGGUAUCUUGUACUGGAAAAAAUCAACAUACCUUUAAUGGCAUAUAAGAAAGAACUGGUUCCCUGAACUUCGGAUGUACCAAAACAGGUACUUCAGAUCUGACAAACAGACAAAAUGUACCCUCUUUUUAUACAACCGCAAAAAUUGAAAAAAUUUUGGUCGUAUAUUGGUAUGACGUUAGCAUCCUCAUCGUCGUCGUCUUAGACAUUUGGUUUUUGCACUCUAACUUUAGUAUAAGUAAAUAGAAAUCUAUGACAUUUAAAACACAAGGUUAAUGACCAUAAAAGGAAGGUUGGGAUUGAUUUUGGGAGUUUUGGUCCCAACAGUUUAGGGUCCAAAAGGGUCAAAAAUAAAACUUUGUUUGAUUUCAUCAAAAAAUGAAUUAUUGCGGUUCUUUGAUAUGCCAAAUCUAACCAUGUAUUUAGAUUCUUAAUUUUUGAUCCUGUUUUCAAAUUGGUCUACAGUAGGUCCAAAGGGUCCAAAAUUAAACUUAGUUUGAUUUUAACAAAAAUUGAAUUCUUGAGGUUCUUUGAUAUGCUGAAUCUAAACAUGUACUUAAAUUUUUGAUUAUGGGACCCAGUUUUCAAGUUAGUCCAAAAUUCAGGGUCCAAAAUUAAACUUUGUUUGUUUUCAACAAAAAUUGAAUAUAUGGGGUUCUUAAAUAUGCUGAAUCUAACCAUGUAAUUAGAUUUUUUAAAUUUGGGCCGGUUAUCAAAUUGGUCCACAUUGAGGUCUAAAGGGUCUAAAAUUGAACAUUAUUUGAUUUCAUCAAAAGUUGAAUUCUUUGUGUUCUAUGAUAUGCUGAAUCUAACCAUGUAUUUAGAUUUUGGAUAUUGGACCAUAAUAGGUAAAUGUCCAAUUUAAAAAAAAAUUUAAGUUUAAGUUCUUAGACCACAUUCUUUCUGUGUCAGAAACCUAUGUUGUAUCAACUAUUUAAUCACAAUCCAAAUUCAGAGUGUAUUAAGCUUAAAUGUUGUGUCAAUACUUGCCCCAACUGUUCAGGGUUCGACCUCCGCAGUCGUAUAAUCUGGUUUGGUGCAGUUUUUUUUAAUAUUUAAAAUUGAGAGUCCAAAAGUGUUCUACAAUGAUCACCAGUCCCUCAGCUUUCAUUUGAUGCCAAAAAUACCUAAAUAUCCUACAUAUUUUGAAAGUUACACUCAUGCGUAGGAACUAUUUUGUGUUAAAUAUGUACUACUUUCUGGUAUGUGCUUUCUUGCCGGGCCCGAAUUAGUGGUGUUACACCUUAAUAAGACUUAAAGUAUAAGCUUUUUGUAAACACCAUUUUUAUGCCCCAUUUAUGGACAUUAUUUUAUCUGGUCAGUGCGUUCGUUUGUACGUCAGUUCGUUCGUUCGUCUGUCCGUCAGUUCGUCCCGCUUCAGGUUAAAGUUUUUGGUCAAGGUAGAUUUUGAUGAAGUUGAAGUCCAAUCAACUAGAAAACUUAGUAUAUAUGUUCCUCAUGAUAUGAUCUUUCUAAUUUUAAUGCCAAAUUAGAGAUUUUAUCCCAUUUUCACAGUCCACUGAACAUAGAAAAUGAUAGUGUGGAUGGGGCAUCCUUGUACUUAGGACUCAUUUUUGUUACUUUUAGUGUAAAACAUUUAUACAAAAUGUUUAUAUUGAUUCAUCUUUAUUUUCGUUUUUGAUGCAAGAAAAUAUAUUUAUUAAAGC